RNAcentral lists this ribosomal RNA (463 nucleotides) under uncultured bacterium. RNAcentral's name for it is "partial 16S ribosomal RNA". It matches the Rfam family "Bacterial small subunit ribosomal RNA", at positions 28 to 506 of the family's 1533-position model. The record is from RNAcentral.
GACGAACGCUGCGGCGUGCUUAACACAUGCAAGUCGCACGGAAAGGCCCUGCUUGCAGGGUACUCGAGUGGCGAACGGGUGAGUAACACGUGGGUGAUCUGCCCUGCACUUCGGGAUAAGCCUGGGAAACUGGGUCUAAUACCGGAUAGGAGCCAUUUUUAGUGUGAUGGUUGGAAAGUUUUUUCGGUGUAGGAUGAGCUCGCGGCCUAUCAGCUUGUUGGUGGGGUAAUGGCCUACCAAGGCGGCGACGGGUAGCCGGCCUGAGAGGGUGGACGGCCACAUUGGGACUGAGAUACGGCCCAGACUCCUACGGGAGGCAGCAGUGGGGAAUAUUGCACAAUGGGCGCAAGCCUGAUGCAGCGACGCCGCGUGGGGGAUGACGGCCUUCGGGUUGUAAACUCCUUUCGCUAGGGACGAAGCUUUUUGUGACGGUACCUAGAUAAGAAGCACCGGCUAACUACGU